CAUUGCCUUAGACUGGUGCGCCACUAGCGCCCCAAAGAUAAUAUGACAUGAAUUGCAGACAUCUCAGAACAAAUUAGUCAGGAUUAUUCUUAAACUUCCAGCAUUUAGGCAUCUUGACCAUUCCCACUUUGAAAGCCUUUAGAUGGCUCAAAGUGGAGGAGAGUCUCUCAGAUGAAGUUGUAUGGUCCCCAGGUACCUAUGUAACUACUUUAACUUGGUACGGGAUAACCAUAACUAUUCCACUAGAUUGAGUGAAACUGAUGUUGUUCCUUUAGAUUUAAAAGUGGUAUUGGGAAAUACACUUUUUUAUACUCAGCUGCCAUUCUUUGGAAUAAUCUUCCUAAGAAUUUGAAUAAUCUGCCAUAUGUAGUUUCAAGUUCUUACUGAAAAAAAUGGCUAAAUAGUAGUAUUGUCUCAAAAGCGAGUCGUAAGAUUAUAGUAUGUGGCUGAGAAGGAAAAUGCAUAUGGUCUGCGUUUUGGUGCCUGUUAUCAUAUUGUGAUUGUCUUGUAUAUAUUAGGUAUUGGUUGUUUUAUAUAUUAAGGGCAUGUGAGACAAGGGAGAUGUACCUGUCCAUAGUUGUUUAUUAGGAAAGGGAAUUGUACUAAUUAUUUCAUGUUAUGACUCAAACAUCAUUGUCUGUUGACAUUACAAUUGCCACUUAACCAUGUUGCAUACCUCCUUCCCUCUUCAAAAGGACAAUAAUGGAAUAAGAUUUUAAGCUUUGUCGUGUUAUCCUUGAUGAUUUUCUUAAAUUGUAUGUGGAUGCGUCACUGGCUGGAGCGCCCUUAUGUUUUUAUUUUGUAUUGUCUUCUAAAUUAAAUCAAUCAAUCAACACAGGCAUAAUAAGAUAUAUAUAGCUAGCUGUAAAGUAAUGAGUGACCAUGAUCAAAACGCGUGGGGUACGUCUGCAGCCUUCCAUCUCGAAAGCUUGAUAUAAAUAUAUUUUCUUGAAUGCUCAUGUGAUUUACACCUUUCAGUAAGCAAAUUAUUUUCACUCCGUUGGGAGAUGACCGCUCCGCGUCGUUCAUAGCCAGCCCUCUGUCAGCUACUACAUCCAAACAGCGCUCAGCCCAUCAAAACACUUCUCAAACAAAACUUUCCCAUGGAGUAAAAUUGACGGUCGACAUAGGGCUUUACAACCAUCCUAAAAUAUAUGCAAUAUGACAUAAUCAGGGCAACUCGUUCAUUCUUAGCCGGCCUGCUGUCUAACCUAACAUAUACAGGCAUACUUAUUCAUUUUCAUGGUUGGGAGGAUUUUCAGAAAAUAUCCACCGAGGCUCAGCCAAUCGUUACAUUACAACAGAAUGCAGCGCAGCACAUGACUGAAGAAAGAAGAGAACCAAUUGACUAGUUACCGCAUCAGCGCUCUCUGGAAAGGCAGCUUGCCAGUUACAGCAGCGCGUCCCCUCAGCGAUAACGAAGAGGUAAGUUAGGCGAGAAGACCACGGAGGCGGGUUGAGAGAGGUGAUUACUUUACCUAUGAGGGCGUGGGAAGGAUCAGGGAAGGGAGAAGAUGAUAAUGCACUGGGUAGGUGGUCCACCUUCCCUGUGGCCGACAUGGUUGCUGUAUGGACAGCGGAGAGGACAUGGACGUCUCGUUUGUCAUGCCACUUUACUGCCAGUUGUUGACCAUUCUCAGUGAACUCAACCUCCCCUCUGCAUCUUCCUGCAUCCGAAUGCCGACAUCCCCUUCCUAUUCGACCUGACUGUGCCACAGGCCCCUGUGCUGUUGGAGAACAGAUGCUGGAAGAGUGUGGGACUGCUGUACCAAUUGUCCACAUACAAACUGUGCCCCUUGCCUAGAUGAGGAGCCAGCAUGGUCAUCACCGUGGACACGAACACCCCAAGCCCCUCAUAAUGUUGGAUGUCAGUGGUAGACCCUGUGUAGACUAUAAUGUCCUGGACAAAUCCUAUCUUCACUUCGGACAUGACAAAGAACGUGACUCCAAACCUGUGUCUUUUGGAGGGAAUAUAUUGACGGAACACCAGCCUACCCUUCCAUAACAUCAGGGACUCAUCAAUGCAUAGAUCCUUGUAUGGCAACCCGACCAAAUGCUGAUGUCAGGCUGCGCCAAGGCAUAGUGAUUGGUCUCCUCUAUGUCUCCCACCAACUCCUCUGUCAGAAACAGCUUGAAGCACUCUGCCUCAGAGGGAAAUGGCAAGGGGCUUUGCACUCCAGACUGGGACUCAUCAAAGCGAACAGCAAGGCCAGAAGGGGUGAAAUGGCUGGCGGCCUUCCAGCUACCACAGAACUCCUGUACUGCAUCCACUGUCGGUCUGCCUCCAUCACCACCAGCAUCUUCAAAGAAACCUGGGACUUUGUCAGUAGACAAGGGGCCCUCAGAUUCAGGGUUGUCAAUGGCUACAAGGUUGGGGGGCAGCUCCUCACUGUCAGAAUCCGAUUCCUGACUUUCAAUACUCAGACUCAUUGUCAGAAUUUAUAAAAAAUCUCCAGAAUUUCCACAUUUGUGAGUGGUCUCCUUUUGAAAGACAUUGCUAAUGCUAUAGCUUAGCUCACUAGCUACAUGGGAGAGGUUACGUGAUUGACUGCUUGCCCACGCCACUUGUAUCAAUAAAUCACUAUCAGAAAAUGUUUUGUGUGGUAAUUA
Salmo salar (Atlantic salmon) is the source of this 2610-nucleotide non-coding RNA. The record is from RefSeq and is a predicted model, not a curated record. Lineage: Eukaryota; Metazoa; Chordata; Actinopteri; Salmoniformes; Salmonidae.